Molecule: ribosomal RNA, 252 nt
Filed under: uncultured bacterium
Lineage: Bacteria
Description: partial 16S ribosomal RNA
Rfam family: Bacterial small subunit ribosomal RNA
Source: RNAcentral
CACGUAGGGCGCAAGCGUUGUCCGGAAUCAUUGGGCGUAAAGAGCUCGUAGGUGGUCUGUUGCGUCCGCUGUGAAAACUCGGGGCUUAACCCCGAGCUUGCAGUGGAUACGGGCAGACUAGAGGUAGGUAGGGGAGAAUGGAAUUCCCGGUGUAGCGGUGAAAUGCGUAGAUAUCUGCAGGAACACCCGUGGCGAAAGCGGCGCGCUGGACCACUACUGACGCUGAGGAACGAAAGCUAGGGGAGCAAACAG